UGCAUAUCAAUAAGCGGAGGAAAAGAAACCAACAGGGAUUGCCUCAGUAACGGCGAGUGAAGCGGCAAAAGCUCAAAUUUGAAAUCCUUCGGGAGUUGUAAUUUGAAGGUGAAGGGACCGCGGUAGAUGAUGAUUAAAGUCCCUUGGAACAGGGCGCCUUAGAGGGUGAGAGCCCCGUACAGUCAUCCAUCUUCCUCUUAUGUUCUUUCUCCAACGAGUCGAGUUGUUUGGGAAUGCAGCUCAAAGUGGGUGGUAAAUUCCAUCUAAAGCUAAAUACCGGCGAGAGACCGAUAGCGAACAAGUACCGUGAGGGAAAGAUGAAAAGCACUUUGAAAAGAGAGUGAAACAGUACGUGAAAUUGUUGAAAGGGAAGGGCUUGCAAGCAGACACAACCCUCGUGGUUGGGCCAGCAUCGGUUGCUAGGGGUGGAUAAGGCGGCGGGAAUGUAGCUUCCUCGGAAGUAUUAUAUCCCGCUGAGAUACACCCACCGGCGACCGAGGCCUGCGAUUUUAAAUCAAGGAUGCUGGCGUAAUGGUUGCAAGCCGCCCGUCUUGAAACACGGACC
RNAcentral lists this ribosomal RNA (565 nucleotides) under Sungouiella blattae. Its description in RNAcentral is "LSU rRNA". It matches the Rfam family "Eukaryotic large subunit ribosomal RNA", at positions 37 to 667 of the family's 3401-position model. Lineage: Eukaryota; Fungi; Ascomycota; Pichiomycetes; Serinales; Metschnikowiaceae. The record is from RNAcentral.